This 440-nucleotide ribosomal RNA is filed under the name uncultured bacterium. Its description in RNAcentral is "partial 16S ribosomal RNA". It matches the Rfam family "Bacterial small subunit ribosomal RNA", at positions 338 to 795 of the family's 1533-position model. The record is from RNAcentral.
CCUACGGGAGGCAGCAGUAGGGAAUAUUGCUCAAUGGGGGAAACCCUGAUGCAGCAACGCCGCGUGGAGGAUGAAGGUUUUCGGAUUGUAAACUCCUUUCGUUAGAGAGGAUAAUGACGGUAUCUAACAAAUAAGCACCGGCUAACUCCGUGCCAGCAGCCGCGGUAAUACGGAGGGUGCAAGCGUUACUCGGAAUCACUGGGCGUAAGGAGCGCGUAGGCGGGAUAGCAAGUCAGAUGUGAAAUCCUAUGGCUUAACCAUAGAACUGCAUUUGAAACUGUUCUGCUAGAGUAUGGGAGAGGGAGGUGGAAUUCUUGGUGUAGGGGUAAAAUGCGUAGAGAUCAAGAGGAAUACUCAUUGCGAAGGCGACCUGCUAGAACAUAACUGACGCUGAGGCGCGAAAGCGUGGGGAGCAAACAGGAUUAGAUACCCCUGUAGUC